UUCAGACGAUGCGUCAUGCAUAUCAAUAAGCGGAGGAAAAGAAACUAACAAGGAUUCCCCUAGUAACGGCGAGUGAAGCGGGAAGAGCUCAAAUUUGAAAUCUUAAAGGGUUUCCCUUUACGAAUUGUAGUUUAAAGAAGUGUUUUCUGUUGAGGUUUUGGUAAAAGUUCUUUGGAAUAGGACAUCAUAGAGGGUGAGAAUCCCGUAUUUGACCUUUACUUUCAACUUUGUGAUACACUUUCAAAGAGUCGGAUUGUUUGGGAAUGCAGUCCAAAAUGGGUGGUAAAUUUCAUCUAAAGCUAAAUAUUGGCGAGAGACCGAUAGCGAACAAGUACCGUGAGGGAAAGAUGAAAAGAACUUUGAAAAGAGAGUUAAACAGUACGUGAAAUUGUCAAAAGGGAAGCGUUUGACACCAGUGUUGUUUUUCUGAAAAUCAAUUAAAGAACUGUUUAUGCUAAGUUGUUUAGACUUUAUCAGCUAACUGUUUAGUUUUGAGCUUUUCUUUAAUGCACUUUUCAGUUAACAAGUCAACAUCAAUUUCUUUUGCUGUAAAAAAGCUUGAGGAAGGUGGCUUGAGAUUCGUCUUAAGUGUUUAUAGCCUCUUGCCUAUGCAGUCGGAGAGAUUGAGGUCUGCAGCGUAGAUCCUUCGGGGCUAAAUGCAUUUGUGCUAAGCUAUAGCAUUUUAUAGACAACUUGUUGACUAUGAUUUGUCUUGUAGCUUACUCGCUUAUGUUAUUUUACCUACGCUUAGGAUGUUGAGCGCAUGUCUCUCUCU
RNAcentral lists this ribosomal RNA (775 nucleotides) under uncultured Neocallimastigales. Its description in RNAcentral is "partial large subunit ribosomal RNA". It matches the Rfam family "Eukaryotic large subunit ribosomal RNA", at positions 18 to 616 of the family's 3401-position model. The record is from RNAcentral. Lineage: Eukaryota; Fungi; Neocallimastigomycota; Neocallimastigomycetes; Neocallimastigales.